This 29-nucleotide non-coding RNA is filed under the name Mus musculus (house mouse). Lineage: Eukaryota; Metazoa; Chordata; Mammalia; Rodentia; Muridae. The record is from RNAcentral.
UGAGAUUAUGUGGUUCUCGGAUGAAUAGC